GGGAUGAUAGCUUAGUAGGAAAAGCAAUAGGUUGAAGCUCUAUGGAUGUACGUUCGAAUCGUGCUUGUCCCA
Molecule: transfer RNA, 72 nt
Filed under: Anaerocolumna aminovalerica
Lineage: Bacteria; Bacillati; Bacillota; Clostridia; Lachnospirales; Lachnospiraceae
Description: tRNA-Phe
Rfam family: tRNA
About the family: Transfer RNA (tRNA) molecules are approximately 80 nucleotides in length. Their secondary structure includes four short double-helical elements and three loops (D, anti-codon, and T loops).
Source: RNAcentral